AACGCACAUUGCGCCCGCCAGUAUUCUGGCGGGCAUGCCUGUUCGAGCGUCAUUUCAACCAUCAAGCCCCCGGCUUGUGUUGGGGACCUGCGGCUGCCCGCAGGCCCUGAAAACCAGUGGCGGGCUCGCUGUCACCCCGAGCGUAGUAGCAAUCACCUCGCUCAGGGCGUGCCGCGGGCGCCGGCCGUUAAAGCUGCCUUCGCGCAACACCCAAGGUUGACCUCGGAUCAGGUAGGAAGACCCGCUGAACUUAA
RNAcentral lists this unclassified non-coding RNA (254 nucleotides) under uncultured fungus. RNAcentral's name for it is "partial contains 5.8S ribosomal RNA, internal transcribed spacer 2, and large subunit ribosomal RNA". The stretch from base 1 to 52 matches the Rfam family "5.8S ribosomal RNA", at positions 103 to 154 of the family's 154-position model. Lineage: Eukaryota; Fungi. The record is from RNAcentral.